This 1979-nucleotide ribosomal RNA is filed under the name Bacteroides thetaiotaomicron. Its description in RNAcentral is "partial 23S ribosomal RNA". It matches the Rfam family "Bacterial large subunit ribosomal RNA", at positions 1 to 1983 of the family's 2925-position model. Lineage: Bacteria; Pseudomonadati; Bacteroidota; Bacteroidia; Bacteroidales; Bacteroidaceae. The record is from RNAcentral.
GGAUAAGGAAAGUAAAAAAGGGCGCAUGGCGGAUGCCUUGGCUCUCGGAGGCGAUGAAGGACGUGAUAAGCUGCGAUAAGCUUUGGGGAGGUGCAAAUGACCUUUGAUCCAGAGAUUUCCGAAUGGGACAACCCAAUAUCUUGAAGAGGUAUUAUCCAACGUUGUUGGAGGCUAACGCAGGGAACUGAAACAUCUUAGUACCUGCAGGAAAAGAAAAUAAACAAUGAUUCCCCCAGUAGUGGCGAGCGAACGGGGAACAGCCCAAACCAUCCAUGUUACGGCAUGGGUGGGGUUGUAGGACUACGCCGUUGCAUGAAGACAUCAGAGAAGAACUUUCUGGAAAGAAAGACCAUAGAGCAUGACAGUUGCGUAUUCGAAUGUUGUCGAAGCAUAGUAGUAUCCUGAGUAGCGCGGAGCACGAGGAAUUCUGCGUGAAUCUGCCGGGACCAUCCGGUAAGGCUAAAUACUCCCGAGAGACCGAUAGCGAACCAGUACCGUGAGGGAAAGGUGAAAAGCACUUCGAACAGAAGAGUGAAAUAGUUCCUGAAACCGUGCGCCUACAAGCGGUCGGAGCUCGUUGAUGAGUGACGGCGUGCCUUUUGCAUAAUGAACCUACGAGUUGCCUUUGCCGGCAAGGUUAAGUGUGACGACACACGUAUCCGAAGCGAAAGCGAGUCUGAAGAGGGCGUAUAGUCGGCAGUGGCAGACGCGAAACCAAGUGAUCUACCCUUGGCCAGGUUGAAGGCUGGGUAACACCAGCUGGAGGACCGCACCAAUAAGCGUUGAAAAGCUUCUGGAUGAGCUGAGGGUAGGGGUGAAAGGCUAAUCAAACUUGGAGAUAGCUCGUACUCCCCGAAAUGCAUUUAGGUGCAGCCUUGCGGGUUACUGAUGUGAGGUAGAGCGACUGAUAAGAUGCGAGGGCUUCACCGCCUAUCAAGUCUUGACAAACUCCGAAUGCGCAUCAGUUCUACCGCAGGAGUGAGGGCAUGGGUGCUAAGGUCCGUGCCCGAGAGGAGAAGAAUCCGGACCACCUGCUAAGGUCCCGAAAUGACAGCUAAGUUAAACUAACGAAGUCUGACUGCUAAGACAGCUAGGAUGUUGGCUUGGAAGCAGCCAUUCAUUUAAAGAGUGCGUAACAGCUCACUAGUCGAGGAGUCGGGCGUGGAUAAUAAUCGGGUAUGAAGUUGUCUACCGAAGCAGUGGGAUCAUUUAUAUGAUCGGUAGGGGAGCAUUCCAGUCGGCGUCGAAGGCGUACCGUGAGGUAUUCUGGAGCGUCUGGAAAAGCAAAUGUAGGUAUAAGUAACGAUAAAGGGGGCGGGAAACCCCCUCGCCGAAAGACUAAGGUUUCCUGAUCAACGCUAAUCGGAUCAGGGUCAGUCGGGUCCUAAGGCUCAGCCGAACGGCGAUGCCGAUGGCAGAAACGGUUAAUAUUCCGUUACUACCUUCAGGAGUGACGUGGAGACGCAGUAGUGACAGUGCCGCCAUCUGACGGAAUAGAUGGUUGAAGGGUGUAGGAGUCGAUCAUGGCAGGCAAAUCCACCAUGAGAUCCGAACCUGAUAGUAUGCCGCGUCCUUCGGGACAAGGCAAUAGUGCGCGUAAGCAUGCUGCCGAGAAAAUCCGCUAAACUUAAUCCUGCAGGUACCCGUACCGCAAACGGACACACGUAGUCGGGAUGAAUAUUCUAAGGCGCUUGAGUGAUUCACGGUUAAGGAACUAGGCAAACUGACCCUGUAACUUCGGGAUAAAGGGUCCCUACCCUUUUAUGGGAGGGCGCAGAGAAUCGGUCCAGGCAACUGUUUAACAAAAACACAGGGCUGUGCCAAAUCGAAAGAUCCAGUAUACAGCCUGACACCUGCCCGGUGCUGGAAGGUUAAGAGGAGAUGUCAUCGAUAAGAGAAGCGUUGAAUUGAAGCCCCAGUAAACGGCGGCCGUAACUAUAACGGUCCUAAGGUAGCGAAAUUCCUUGUCGGGUAAGUUC